Molecule: non-coding RNA, 81 nt
Organism: Peromyscus leucopus (white-footed mouse)
Lineage: Eukaryota; Metazoa; Chordata; Mammalia; Rodentia; Cricetidae
Source: the annotation of a RefSeq genome assembly
AUAGUCAUGGCAGAAUGGUUAAGGCGAUGGACUUGAAAUCCAUUGGGGGCUCCCCAGCAGGUUCGAAUCCUGCUGACUACA